GCUUACGGUCCACACUACCCUGAGACGGCCCGAUCUCUUUGAUCUCGGAAGCUAACAGGGUUUGGCCUGGUUAGUACUUGAUGGGAGAAAACCCACCCUGGGAAUACCAGGUGCUGUAAGCU
This 122-nucleotide ribosomal RNA is filed under the name Astyanax mexicanus (Mexican tetra). The record is from RNAcentral. Lineage: Eukaryota; Metazoa; Chordata; Actinopteri; Characiformes; Acestrorhamphidae.